GGACUUCUCGCCCUGCCUGCGAGUUGGGGGAGGCAGGUGAGGCAGCACUGUGAGACACCCCACCAGCAGAAGGUAGUGGGCACGCAGACACGGGGUCACACCAGCGCCCAGGAAAAUGAGCAGCAAGAAGGGGGUGCCCAAAGCUGCAUCAGUUCAGGGAAGUGGCAGCCAUCUCUCCCUGGAGCCGAGCUGAGAGCUGUUGCUGCACCUCAAGGCCCUCGCUCCGGAGUUGCUCCAGCGCCAUGGCCAGCUCCAGCCCCUCCACGCGCACCCAGGCCUGCUCCUCCUGUAGCUGCUGCAGCCACAGCUGCUCC
Zalophus californianus (California sea lion) is the source of this 314-nucleotide long non-coding RNA. RefSeq lists it as uncharacterized. NCBI's taxonomy places the organism in Eukaryota, Metazoa, Chordata, Mammalia, Carnivora, Otariidae. The record is from RefSeq and is a predicted model, not a curated record. The transcript is spliced from 4 exons.